RNAcentral lists this ribosomal RNA (520 nucleotides) under Papiliotrema terrestris. RNAcentral describes it as "partial 26S ribosomal RNA". The record is from RNAcentral. Lineage: Eukaryota; Fungi; Basidiomycota; Tremellomycetes; Tremellales; Rhynchogastremaceae.
CAUAAAGGCGAGCUGCAUUCCUCAGUCUCAUUCGAUGUAUGCGACAGCUGGCUAUAACACACCCGGAGGUGCCACCUUCCAGCUGCCCUUAUCCACCGAACAAAACUGAUGUUGACCCGACUGAGGGGAAUACACCGGCAGAACCGGCUGAGCCUCUCAGUCACGACUGACUUCAAUCGUUUCCCUUUCAACAAUUUCACGUACUGUUUAACUCUCUUUCCAAAGUGCUUUUCAUCUUUCCCUCACGGUACUUGUUCGCUAUCGGUCUCUCGCCAAUAUUUAGCUUUAGAUGGAACUCACCACCCAUUUUGAGCUGCAUUCCCAAACAACUCGACUCGUAGAAGACGUAUCACAGAGCACCGGUCAUUGUGUCAAGUACGGGAUUAUCACCCUCUUUGAUACCCUGUUCCAAGGGACUUAGACACAGUCCGGCACGGAAAACGCCUCUAUAGAUUACAACUCGGACGCACUGAGCACGCCAGAUUUCAAAUUUGAGCUCUUCCCGGUUCACUCGCCGUUA